This 22-nucleotide microRNA is filed under the name Owenia fusiformis. RNAcentral's name for it is "Ofu-Mir-12_5p (mature (guide))". RNAcentral also lists the same sequence under 20 other names. Lineage: Eukaryota; Metazoa; Annelida; Polychaeta; Sabellida; Oweniidae. The record is from RNAcentral.
UGAGUAUUACAUCAGGUACUGA